Molecule: non-coding RNA, 785 nt
Organism: Cinara cedri
Lineage: Eukaryota; Metazoa; Arthropoda; Insecta; Hemiptera; Aphididae
Source: the annotation of a GenBank genome assembly
AUAAAAUACAACAUGGCGUAUGUAGUGUACAUUUUUUGUUUUUUUUACGGUUCAAUAUACCUGGGUGAGGUUGAUGACCUGUGGAAUUUUAAAUGUCGAUAAAAUUUGAAAUUUGAUUUACGUGAGUAUAACAAUGAGUCACACGGUGCGUGUGGCCAAAAAUUAAAUUCUACAAGGGAAAUAUUAUAAUAUUCGUAUAAAAAUAUCAAAAUAUGUCGGAAGUUUUUCAAUAUUUCAAGAGUGUCUUUUCCGUAUUUUUUUUUUUUUUAUUAAUUUCGAGUCCCAUGUAUAGCAUACGACUGACCCAAUCCGGUGACUCACGUCACCCAACCAUGUUUUACAUUUGGGCCAGUCGUAUGAAAAAUUCGUUUUUCCCCCUUUUCUUUUCAUCGUUUCGUAUGAAAAUACUUGUAAACAAUUUCGUUUUUUUUUUUUCGAUAAUGCAAUUUUCCAUCAACACUACGACCACUUUGGUCGCUUCCCACGUAUUGUACACCGGGUAUGGUUUUUUAUUUUUUUUGAAUGUCAUUGUAUAUAUUUUCUGUACGCCACAACCUUUUCAAUUACUUUUGCGAUCCCCACUUUUGGUUCGGUACGGAGACCAUUUUUUUUUUUUUCAAUUUCGUUGUUGCAUUGUUCCAACGUUUUUUUCUUUUACGGCGACACACGCGUUUUCCCGGCAUAUUAUUCAAAUAUCAUAUAUUUUAUCCAUAUUUAAUCACAUACAACUUCCAAUAUACAUUUAAUAACUAUGUCAUUCGUUUUUGUAGCUAACAAUAUUAUUG